RNAcentral lists this ribosomal RNA (510 nucleotides) under Salinispora pacifica. RNAcentral's name for it is "bacterial SSU rRNA". It matches the Rfam family "Bacterial small subunit ribosomal RNA", at positions 104 to 628 of the family's 1533-position model. The record is from RNAcentral. Lineage: Bacteria; Bacillati; Actinomycetota; Actinomycetes; Micromonosporales; Micromonosporaceae.
GGGUGAGUAACACGUGAGUAACCUGCCCCAGGCUUUGGGAUAACCCCGGGAAACCGGGGCUAAUACCGGAUAUGACUGGCUGCCGCAUGGUGGUUGGUGGAAAGAUUUUUCGGCUUGGGAUGGACUCGCGGCCUAUCAGCUUGUUGGUGGGGUAAUGGCCUACCAAGGCGGCGACGGGUAGCCGGCCUGAGAGGGCGACCGGCCACACUGGGACUGAGACACGGCCCAGACUCCUACGGGAGGCAGCAGUGGGGAAUCUUGCACAAUGGGCGGAAGCCUGAUGCAGCGACGCCGCGUGAGGGAUGACGGCCUUCGGGUUGUAAACCUCUUUCAGCAGGGACGAAGCGUUUGUGACGGUACCUGCAGAAGAAGCGCCGGCCAACUACGUGCCAGCAGCCGCGGUAAGACGUAGGGCGCGAGCGUUGUCCGGAUUUAUUGGGCGUAAAGAGCUCGUAGGCGGCUUGUCGCGUCGACUGUGAAAACCCGUGGCUCAACUUCGGGCUUGCAGUC